UACAGAGGGGGCAAGCGUUAUUCGGAAUUAUUGGGCGUAAAGGGCGCGUAGGCGGCAUGGCAAGUGGAUGGUGAAAUCCCUCGGCUUAACCGAGGAACUGCCGUCCAAACUGCUUCGCUUGAGACCGGGAGAGGUGAGUGGAAUUCCCAGUGUAGCGGUGAAAUGCGUAGAUAUUGGGAGGAACACCAGUGGCGAAGGCGGCUCACUGGACCGGUACUGACGCUGAGACGCGAAAGCGUGGGGAGCAAACAGG
RNAcentral lists this ribosomal RNA (253 nucleotides) under uncultured bacterium. RNAcentral's name for it is "partial 16S ribosomal RNA". It matches the Rfam family "Bacterial small subunit ribosomal RNA", at positions 524 to 776 of the family's 1533-position model. The record is from RNAcentral.